GAUCCUGGCUCAGGAUGAACGCCAGCGGUGUGCCUAAUACAUGCAAGUCGAACGCGUUGGCCCAACUGAUUGAACGUGCUUGCACGGACUUGACAUUGGUUUACCAGCGAGUGGCGGACGGGUGAGUAACACGUAGGUAACCUGCCCAAAGCGGGAUAACAUUGGAACAGAUGCUAAUACCGCAUAACAAUUUGAAUCGCAUGAUUCAAAUUUAAAAGAUGGCUUCGGCUAUCACUUUGGGAUGGACCUGCGGCGCAUUAGCUUGUUGGUAGGGUAACGGCCUACCAAGGCUGUGAUGCGUAGCCGAGUUGAGAGACUGAUCGGCCACAAUGGAACUGAGACACGGUCCAUACUCCUACGGGAGGCAGCAGUAGGGAAUCUUCCACAAUGGGCGCAAGCCUGAUGGAGCAACACCGCGUGAGUGAAGAAGGGUUUCGGCUCGUAAAGCUCUGUUGUUAGAGAAGAACGUGCGUGAGAGCAACUGUUCACGCAGUGACGGUAUCUAACCAGAAAGUCACGGCUAACUACGUGCCAGCAGCCGCGGUAAUACGUAGGUGGCAAGCGUUAUCCGGAUUUAUUGGGCGUAAAGCGAGCGCAGGCGGUUUGAUAAGUCUGAUGUGAAAGCCUUUGGCUUAACCAAAGAAGUGCAUCGGAAACUGUCAGACUUGAGUGCAGAAGAGGACAGUGGAACUCCAUGUGUAGCGGUGGAAUGCGUAGAUAUAUGGAAGAACACCAGUGGCGAAGGCGGCUGUCUGGUCUGCAACUGACGCUGAGGCUCGAAAGCAUGGGUAGCGAACAGGAUUAGAUACCCUGGUAGUCCAUGCCGUAAACGAUGAGUGCUAGGUGUUGGAGGGUUUCCGCCCUUCAGUGCCGCAGCUAACGCAUUAAGCACUCCGCCUGGGAGUACGACCGCAAGGUUGAAACUCAAGGAAUUGACGGGCCGCACAAGCGGUGGAGCAUGUGGUUUAAUUCGAAGCUACGCGAAGAACCUUACCAGGUCUUGACAUCUUGCGCCAACCCUAGAGAUAGGCGUUCCUUCGGAACGCAAUGACAGGUGGUGCAUGGUCGUCGUCAGCU
Molecule: ribosomal RNA, 1077 nt
Filed under: Limosilactobacillus mucosae
Lineage: Bacteria; Bacillati; Bacillota; Bacilli; Lactobacillales; Lactobacillaceae
Description: bacterial SSU rRNA
Rfam family: Bacterial small subunit ribosomal RNA
Source: RNAcentral